RNAcentral lists this ribosomal RNA (255 nucleotides) under uncultured bacterium. RNAcentral describes it as "partial 16S ribosomal RNA". It matches the Rfam family "Bacterial small subunit ribosomal RNA", at positions 793 to 1055 of the family's 1533-position model. The record is from RNAcentral.
GUCCACGCCGUAAACGAUGGAUACUAGCUGUUGGGGGUAACCUCAGUGGCUAAGCGAAAGUGAUAAGUAUCCCACCUGGGGAGUACGUUCGCAAGAAUGAAACUCAAAGGAAUUGACGGGGGCCCGCACAAGCGGUGGAGCAUGUGGUUUAAUUCGAUGAUACGCGAGGAACCUUACCAAGGCUUAAAUGUAGAUUGACAGGUUUGGAAACAGAUCUUUCUUCGGACAAUUUACAAGGUGCUGCAUGGUUGUCGU